Molecule: long non-coding RNA, 7854 nt
Organism: Dromaius novaehollandiae (emu)
Lineage: Eukaryota; Metazoa; Chordata; Aves; Casuariiformes; Dromaiidae
Exons: 4
Source: RefSeq, a predicted model, not a curated record
ACAGCGGCGAGGGGGAGGGGCCGCCGCCACGGGGCCGCCGCACCUGCCGCCGCCGCCGCCGCCGGGCAGGUGGCGCCGCCGCCGGGGCCGCCCCGCCGCCGGGGGACGCCCCACGGCCGCGGGCACCGCGGGGACACCGGGCACCUGCGCUGCGGCUCACGUGGCCUCCCCGAAAUGCAGGUGAAAUUACUUCUUUCAGGAAUGGUAACUUCUGCAAGCAUUGAACUUGGUCAUAACUUAUUUUUGGCACCACAACAAAAGCCACUUGAUUGUUGCAAAUGAUCCUAGUUACACUGCAAAACUGCAGCAAAACUGUUGGCUUGCCUCCAGCUUGCCUGUGCUGCCCGUAAUCAUGUCAGAAAUAAAUUCCCUGAUGAAGGCAGAAGGAUCAGCUGGAAAAGCAUCCAGACUGAAAGAGAAGAAUGAUGGGUGGAUACAGAGACUGCAAAAAGGCAGCAAGCCAGUUGAAACAGGUCUCUGUAUGAUGUUCUUAAACCAGCAUUACCUGUGUGUAGAAAAUGGAAGCAAAGACAGUUAACUGACCUUGUCAGAACACGUGUUGUCGUCGGGACCACCCCCGAUCACAAACAAUUUGCCAACGCAGCUGGUGACUGCUGGAGAGCUUACGGCUUCUUUAAGGGGAGCCACCUCCGUCCAUCGAUUGGAAAAUGAAUCAUAACACUCUACACUGCUGAGUCGGCUUUGACCAUCGUAUCCUCCAACGACAUACACCUAUGCAAAGUGGUGAAAACUAUCAUUGUUCCAUAUUUAGAGUAGCAUUACAUGUCUAUAAGAAGUUAAUUUAACGCUGCAGGAAUCCUAAUUUGCUAGGUUUUUGAAGACAUACAUCCCCUAAAGUUUCAAUAUAGAAGAAGUUAUUCACUCCAGAAACACCACAUCUCCACCAACGUUCAUUAAUGGAAUCUCUGUGGGCUGUUGAUUCCAACUGUUGGUUUUAUAUUAAAUUAUAAAUAAAUAGGCCUUCAAAAUGUAAUAAAAACCUCACAUUUUCCUUACAGUAAUGUAUUUGCUUGCUAUUUUCAAUAUAAAACACUAAGUAAAAGAGCACAGAGAUGCCACUCAGAGCAGCAGCAGUUUGUGUUAGUAACUGCAUGAAUGAAGGCAGUGACUUGUAAGUAAAGCUAGCUGAAGAUAGUUUUCUAUUAUGUGGACAAAUACUUUUGAAAGCACUUUUGAAGCACAGCCAAAUUCUGAUGCUUCUUUGCUUCCAGAAAAAUUGCUUCUUCAAGCUGGACACUUCAAUGGCAAAAAACUGACAAAGAAAUAAAUAACAGAGGGAUAAGAUGAUUUUCAUGUCUAUGAACAGACUGAUUAAGAACAUAGUUAUUUGCUUCCAAUAUUCUUUAAAAAUGUUUUUUAACAUAAUCUAAUAGGGAAGCCAUCAAAGUAACACUAAACAUUUGCAUCUGUUUUCUACAUUCUUUUCUUAUAUUUGGGGACCAUAUAAGCUAAAAUAAGUUAUAAAUAUACUUCUCUUACUUUACCAAGAAGAACAGCCAUUUUGUGACGCCAUCUGCCUUUAUUUAAGGAGGCAACUCUGAUCCAAAUGUUAAGCUGAGAGUUAUAAAUCCACACAUCCCGGCUAUUGAUUCUUCCACCUUUAAAAACAAAAAUAUGCCAGUUUAUCUUGAAUAAAUUCAUUAUUUAACAAGAAAGGCUUACAAUUAACAUACUGCUAUACAGGGGACAAUGAAAGUGUUAUGUCCUUUUUAGGUGACAAAAGAUCUAGCUUUAUGUUAGAUUUAAAAAGUCAAUUUCAGUGGAUGUGUCAGACCCAAAUACACAGGGGUAAGUUAUUUUACUCAUGUCAGUCUUCCAUGUAACAUACUGAUACUGCAUUAAAUUAUUUCUUGAGACUGGAAUGUAUUUCAAUGGCUUUUUGCCCAUGCUCUUCAGAUUUCCUGGAGCGUCACUACUUGGAUGUGACCACCUACUUUAACCAUGUGUGUCUUAUGAGGCACAUCCCUAACACUAGCUGUUGCCCUCCAUUCAGUUUGUGCGUACAUCUCCCUCUUAUUGUUGAAAUGAUAAAAGGUAGAACAAAUCUGAGAAGUAUGUUAGUUUACCCACAGAAACUAUUUGGCUCAGUAUUCAGUCCAUCAGCUGUCAGCACUGAACUAUAUAAUUUACCCUUGCUAAGACACUGAAUGAGGGGUGUUUAAAACCUGACAGCUACUGCUUAUUUCAUUGGAAGAGGCUGGUGUAAAUGGAUCCCCACCUCAGGCGGGGAAAGUCAAAAGGGGGUUGUUUCCAUUGGACAUUCCUGUGCUGAAAAGAAGCUUUAACUGUUUUCCCUUUGGAAUCCAGGCAGCCGUACAAUAGAAACUAGGCACCAGCAACAUACCAGUGCUGCACUGCUCCUAGGCAACUGCUGUUUUUACCAGCAGACACCACCUUUUGUUGCAGAUAAAAUGCUGCUGGGAAAAUACUGCUUGUGAUUUUUUGCUUGUAAUUUUUCCAACUAUUGCUUUUCCAAAUGUUGCUGCAAACAGGCCACUACGGCAUUUUAAAGCAGCUUGCUUAAGCAGCCUCAAGGAGCAUAUCCGCACCUCCUUAAAUACAAUUGAUACAUUGGUCUCAGCUGUAAAAGAAAUUGUUGAUUAAAACCAAAAAUCCCAGAAAACACUUGUGGCUCCAAAAAGAUUGGUCCAGGGUUUGUGUUCACCAUUUCCAUCAGCAAGUGACUUUCAACAGAGCUUCUGGAAGUUGAAAGUGUGAAGAUCUGUCAUAAUACUUUUAAAAGUAAAGAAAAUAGAGUCUUAAAUUUCUUAGGAUUAUUCACCUGAAACAAGAAUAUCAUUCCGUAGAGCACACACUGCAUAUUCAGACUUGGUAAACUCUGGAAGUUUAGCCAGUGACUUCCACUCUCCUGUUACAGGAUCGUAGCACUCAGUAUAUGGCAAAUUAAACCCUCCAACUCGUUCACAGCCUCCAACAACAACUAUCACCUCAGAAUAACCAGUUGAUCUAAAAAAGCGAAAACAGAAAACUAAGAUAUAGAAGUUAUUUAUUAAUACAUGGAGGGAGGCCAAACAACACUGUUUUCAAAUAUACUAUGAAAUCAGAAAAUUUACUAUUUAAUGCAACAUUAACUUCUAUGGAAAAAAAAACAAAAGCACAAAAAACACCACUUAAACGGUUCCAGUUUUUCAGCGUUUCCAGGUGUCUCAUCAUAUAGCAGGUUACCACACCAGCAGGUUUUCCGUGUAAGUGGUAGAGUCACACUGCACAAUGUCCUCUGUAAAAAUCAAACAUUUAAAAAUACAAUAAGCCCUUACUCUUUAAUAAUAUUUUUCCUUUAACUGGGUAUGUAGAGGUAUCAGAAAAAGCUGAAGCAAGGCCUGUGCAAAUCUGGUGCAGAACUUCAAUACUGGAUCCUCCAUACUGAAAUGAUUUUGUUUUCCUGCUCAAUUUUAGAGAAUUUAUUAUAGUAGUGUACAUUGUGCAAGUAUUUAAAAAACCUACAAUACCUUCAAAACACUGUAGGGGAUUUCCUGAAAAAAGCUGAAGGCACAGCGUCAAAGGAAAAAAAGAAGUUAAAAAAAACGCACGUAGAGCUAAUACACAGUUAAAAAACCAAUGCAUCAAAAAGUGAUAAAGUAGCAUAGUGAUAGAAGGAAACAUGAAGGACCUGAAACAAAAUCUAAAACCUGAUGUGAAGAAUUAAACAGUCAGUAUACAGAAUUAAGCCUUUAAACUCUGUUCAAUACUCUCGUUCACCUUGUACUUGACUUCAUGGGAAAACCUGAUACCUCUGCAUUACACAUACUGUGUUUACAUAAGAACAGCAAAUCACAUUGUAUUUUAUUCAAUGUAAGAAUGUAAAAAUGUUGAGAAUCCAACAACCAUCUUCUAUAUAUAAAUCAAAUUAGGUCUCAAUCCUAUUCCUUCACUCAAAUUCAUAAUUUCUUAUAGGCAUUUACCAAAAUCCUCCCUUUUUGGGGCUUUUCCAAAUCAAAUAAGCAUGUACUGGUAAGACUAUUUCACAGAUUGCUGCCUAAUAAUCAACUAAAAAUGAAUGGAAGAUUGACUUUAUUUUUAGAAAUCCUUUUUGUCGUGUUGUGCUUUAACUUUGAUCCCCAUAUGAACACAGAUUUCAUUUACCAUUGCUGAUUUCUGUAGUCCUCUCUAGGAAAAAAAAAAAAGACUUGCAUUGCCUUGUGACUGCGUUUGAAAUAAAAGUGGCAUGAUCUGUCCACAGUCUUCCUAACGUAUUAAUUUAUAGACAUACUAACAAAUGUUGAUGACAUUUUCCCCAUUUUGAACUACUAAGAAAAAAAAAGUAGCUAUUCUAUCUCCUUGUCACCGCACGCUGUAAAUUAAAUACAUCUUUCUACUCAAAAUACUUAAGGCAAUGAUAAAUGGUAAUACAUAUCUUCAUUAUAUUAUUUUAUAGUGCAUCUGAGGAAGUACAUUUACAAACCUCAGCUAGUCAGAAGAAAAACAACUGCUCAGAUGCUGGUGUGUUCACUGAUACUACAUUAUCUGCUUUUCUGAGGGGCAACUUUGGAAAGGCUCCUUCCAAGGGUAACGGGAAGAACCCUCUGCACCUGCAAAGCACUGCUCAGAAAAGGGUUUCCUUAACAGCAAGAUACUCAGCUCCCCACUUCCCUUACAGGCAAGCCCAACUACACCACCUAAACAUAUAUACAAAAGAGGUUUGUCUCCCGCUUACUUUUCAAGAUUAGAACCAAGGCCUCCACUUACUGUAAAGCCUACUGUAUGGGAUUGUUAACCUUUUAAAAACAAAUAAACUGCAGUCUUCGGUUGGAAAGGUCUCCUCGUGAAUUGCAAAGAGAAGUUCUGCUCUUCAAAGGAAGUAACAAUUUCAUGCAAUAUUCUAAAUCCACAGAUGGACAAAAAUUUUUAGUAUCUAGAUAGCCAUAUCCUUUCUUUAGAAAUAUUUUCUCUGCUGCAUUUUCUUGAAAGUCUUGCAUUGUAGAGCUUUUGAGGUUACUUCUGAACUAUUUUUUGCAGAUGAUAGAGGGCACAUCAGUUAAAAAAAUAAAAAUGCACAGAAUACACAUAAAGAAUUUACAGGCAAAAGCUAAUUCCAGGGUGGGGGGGAAAAAAGCUAUGGACAGAUGUAAAUGAAGAUUUGAAGAAGAUGGGAUUCUCAAAGAAGCUCUGAUCUCAACCAGUGGUAUAAGAAGUCGUUCUUGUAGCCCUGAGAAGAAAUACUGUGAGACUAGUAAUAGAGGUGAGCUAAAACAAAUGCCAGAGAGAUUGCAGAAAAAUUUUAACCUCAGGAGACCAAUUACAAAGAUUUGAGGAUUUUGGUAAAUCACUGCUUUUCUUCUGUUAACUCACUUUUGUGUAGCAAAUGCGAUAACAGACAGAAAUGUAAAGUGAAAUAAAAAAGUCAUCUCCUUUGCGGGAAAAAUAAGGAACCACAUAAAAACUUUUUUUAAAAGCAGCUAGAAAGGACGUGUUCACAUGUAUAAAUACAGUAACUUAUAACCAAUUAAAGUGGACACUAGUAUGUUUUGAUCAGACAUCCUUAAAGGAAUUGUAUGAUGAAGGAACUCGCAACAUUAUGAACAUUUAAAGAUAUUCAAAGCAUAAAGAAUUAAGUGCCUGUUUUGUUUUGCAUAUGGAGAUUUGUUAUUGCCCACUGCUUGAUCUUGGCUUGGAGAUUUGCUAUGCAACCCCAGCAGUAGAGGCCAAGAGAGGCUUAAGAGGAGUGUGAGAGACAACCUCAAGAUGUCACUGUGUCAUUGCAAGUGCACAACUGAAGCGACCUUCCAGAGGCCUCCUGCAUUUGUCAGUGAUGCCCAGUGGCACACGACGAAGAGCAGCCAGGCAACUGUUAUCCCACACUUUAACUUUUAGUUCAUGUAACUCUUCAUUGGCUUCAAAAAAAAAAAAAUAAAACCCAAGAAAACAACACUGAAAUUGCAGUCCACACUGUUCUUAAAAAAAGAGAGGAGGGUUUGAACAUACUUUAUCCAUAGAUGCAUACAUAGCCAUGUAAGAAACCACAAUUCACUUCCCAAAGUUUCAGUUAAAAAAAGUUUGGGAAUUCCUGAUCCUGCACCUUUCCUUUCCUGUCAGAAACAUCUUAUAUUAAAAAAAAAAGGGGGGGGGGAGCAAGAAAGAAAAGGGAAAGUGCUCUCAGAUGUCCCCUCCUCCCAACCCCCUCCAGAAAUGGCCAGAAAAAGUGUAGUAAAGACACGGGGGAAUGUGGUAGCCAUUUAAGAACAUGAUCUCUUUUUGCUACAGGCAGCAGAAACAAAUGACCCAGAACUAUUCCGUGAGUGUAAUAUAGAAAAGGGGAAAAAAUGCCUGCUGGGAGGCCAGCCAGUUCUUCUCUCUAUAAAUUACUUCUCUUGUUGCUGCCUACUCCAAUUCACAGUGCAGUUUAAGUUCAGCAGUAAAAGCCAACAAAAAAACCACCAAAACCUAAACAUAAAAUCCCCCACCAAGUUAUUUUAUUUAUAAAGUAGUUUGCUGAAGUGCUACAGUGAGGCUAUAGAGUUUCUCAAGUACAUAUACAUAUAUAUAUAUAUAUAUCACGUACUUAGACAGAACUGUUAGGUGUAAGUGUAUUUGCUUUAUCAAAUCAAGGAAUAAACUGAACCCCCCUGAAAUAGCAUCGAAAUCUACCUCCCCUCACAGACAUGCACACUCAAACGGACAAGGGAUUUGGUCUGAAUCCUCAGACCACCACGAUCCCCCCUCAGGCCCAGGCUUAGGGUAUGAAAUGCUUCAGAAAUAUGACAGCACCCAUUUCCACGGGCCACGGCGUGGGCGUUCCCAAAGACCCCUGCCUGGCAGCACACAGUUUUGAAGAGCUGGCAGCAGGGCAGCAAGGAGUUCAAGUUUCUUCUCUCAUGGACUAGACAGCAAGAUUAGAGACUGGAAAGCCACUGAGGGGGCAAAUGCUUGCCAAGUGCUUCUUCCCCUACAAGAAAGCUUGUAACACAUGCCAAAAAAGUGACUGUUCCCUGCACCAUCACUAUACAGCAAUCAGAUAUGACUAAGAAUAAACAAAAAGGAAUAGCUUGUAAGACGCUCUAACAGUUUGUCCAGACCAGAUCAUUGCAUCACUUUAACAUAACACGUGAUUUUAAAACUGCAGUUUAAAACAGGUUGAGUCAAUUAACAAUAAACUAUCAUGUGAAAGUAAGGCUUUUAUUGGGAAAAUAUUUUUCAGAAAGAAAAUUACCAUAACCAGCAUUGCCCAUAAAUGCUGCUAAUGGACUUUUCCUCAUUUCCUGCUGCAGCUUCCAGGCAUCAUUCCUACUUGCAUAAAGCAUUAUUAAGAAGUAGCAAUUGUGGAUUAUUACAAUGUCAUGGUAGAAGCAUAAAGUAUUUCAAGAACUGUUCCAUAAUUCUUUAAAAAUGCAAGAUUUAGUUACUUCCAGAAUAUGGUGUUUGGUGUUAGUCUAUUAUAAUUCUACACAGCAGAUCUGUAAAGCAGUUUGAGACGUAGCAAGUGCAUGUCCCGAAUGAAUAACCUCAUCCCUACUCUUUAUAAUGCUUUGUACACCUACACGAUUUUGUUAUAAGGAAGAAAGGAGGUUGGGAAAUGGAAUGGGUUACUUGUUGUGGCAUAAUAAAUUGUUUUUAAAAUGCUGCAGUUCAGUUGUGUAAAAUAACUUUAGAUUCAUGUAGCAAGCAUUAACAUUUAGAAAAUAUUUUACUUGCAAGGUAAAAUAAUUUCAUUUACAUGAGCAGUCUCAUGUAUCUCAUACCAGUAAAACGAUCUGUGCAAAAACCUGACCUAUUUACCUUUUCUAGACACAUAGGGGCUUGAGCUGUUGGGGGAAAGAGUACAGAAAUAUAACCAGAGUGCUCCAUAAUGUAAAAUAAAAUCAUUUUCAAAAGACA